Molecule: ribosomal RNA, 253 nt
Filed under: uncultured bacterium
Lineage: Bacteria
Description: partial 16S ribosomal RNA
Rfam family: Bacterial small subunit ribosomal RNA
Source: RNAcentral
UACAGAGGUGGCAAGCGUUGUUCGGAAUUACUGGGCGUAAAGGGCGCGUAGGCGGUCUUGUCAGUCCCUUGUGAAAUCCCCCGGCUCAACUGGGGAACUGCACGGGAAACAGCAGGGCUUGAGUUCGGGAGAGGGAAGCGGAAUUCCGGGUGUAGCGGUGAAAUGCGCAGAUAUCCGGAGGAACACCGGUGGCGAAGGCGGCUUCCUGGACCGACACUGACGCUGAGGCGCGAAAGCUAGGGGAGCAAACGGG